UAGGUUCUCGAGUUCCGUGUCCUAAAAAUGUAAGUAGACUGAAAUAUUUAACUAGUAUAUUCGUGGUAUGCAACUGAUAUACACUCUGUUGUGUUUACUGUUUAUCUUUCUGUGUUAGGUCUUCUUCCUAACACAUGGGGGGAACAGUCUGAAUCACUUCUAUGUGUUUGGGUUGGACAUGGAGAAGAAGGAAAAGUUUAUUUUGAACAGGCUUCCCUACAAGAAGGAUUUUGAGACAAAGCCAUACUACAAGCCUACUGGAACACAAAUAAUGCAAUACGCCAGGUCUUUCGUCCUUUUUAACACUAACAUAUCAAAGACUUCAAGUGGAGGGUGGUGUGUGCUCUACAAUAGCCGGACAUUCACAAUUGUGGCUUAUAUGCACUUAGUUUUAUGGAGCAUUACAUCGGUCGUUUUACAACAUACCAAAUGAAGUAGUGGGAUGAAGAGACCGUGAUAAUCAAUGACAGGCUCAAGUAAUUCUGUCGGUUGGUCCUCUCACAAUGGAGUCAAAUUUGUUCCCAGAUAUUAUCUAAAGCGGCGGUGGACGUCCUGGUAGCUGGAACUUCGACCAACCCCCCAAAUUAGAUAUAUAUGUUAUGGAUAUUUGUAUGGUUUGCUUGUAUACUAUUGUUUUAUGGUUAUGUUAUAACUACUUUCUGAAUAGAUUAUGUGUGUUAUAGACAUGAAUGAAGCUUCCUUGCUUAUAUUAUGCAACUGGUUGUCUGGUAGGAAAAUUUUUAUUAUGUACGUAAGUUGUUAGGAAUAGUGAUGUAUCUUUGAUAUACGCCACUUAUCACAAUGUUUUGACCUUGGUAUAGUAAUGUACUUGUAACCAUGGUAGUGAAAUGGUCGAGUCAGCAUGGGAUCGAAAAAUGACAUUAAAUCGUAAUCGUAGAAUCAAAUCGUAAAAUCGUAAGAUUUCACGACUUUAUAUAAUAGCAUAUUAAAUAAGAAAAUGCAUUAAUUUUAGAGUAAUGUUAUUAUUUUAAUUUUUACUUAUUACUAAAAUAAUCAAAAUCUAUCAAUAAAAUAAAUAUAUUAAAAAUAACACCUAGAUUUUGUUUUAUUCUAAGCCAAACCGAGUGAUUGAAAAUGAAAAAUGGACAAUUUUUCUUAGAAAGUAAAUCGUAAAAUACAUGAAAAAUCAUUGAUUUCACAAGAUUCUAAGAAUUAAAUCGAGAUUUUACCUGAUUUCACUAACCAUCGAUUUUGAGUGGAAUCAGAAUCGUUAGACAACACUAAAAUCGUAAGAUUUCAAGAUCUAAAUCGUAGAUUUCACUACUGUGCUUGUAACACCCCAACUCUUGUAACUGAAAAUAAAGAUAAAUAAAUUGUCUUGGGACGGACUCUUGACUUUGCAAGGGGUGGUUACUUCUUCAAUUCAAAUAUAAAUAGCCAUCUUGUACCAAAACAAGAAGAAACAUUUAAAUGCAUCAUGAUACUAAUUUCGGAAGCUGUCCCUCACGUGCAUUUAAAACCAAUGUCGGAACAAAGUUCCAAAUCACACGAUCUCACAGUCCUUGUUAACUUUAGCUUGGCCACUAAAACACCAACGAUCGCUCAUAGCUAGUCCCUGGCAACCUGUAAACAUCUCAUGGGUGGUUUGGGAUCAUUCCUCAUAACUCGCAAUAACGAUUACAAUCACCAAACACAUAAGCAAUAUGACUUAGACUCUUUCUAUAUCUUAGUUGGGAUCCCUUGCUCACAUAUGCUGACGAUUUCCGGUCAUUCACAUAUCAUUAGUGGCACAAUUCAUGCCCAUUUUACUUAUCAUUUGGUGGAAAAGUUCAUGCCCAUUUUCGCCCCCAUUCGGGGCCAUAUACACAUAGCAGUAGUACAAUAAGCACACACGUAGAUCGCUAGCAUACAUGCCCUAAUCUAGGUGAUCAAACAAUUCUAAUUAUUACACCAUUAACAUAUACUUGUGACCGAAUGAACAAUGAUUGAAUAACAAACCAUAUAACACAUAUCAUACCAAUCAGGUACACCGCCACAAUUAUCACAACCAAUGGUCAAUAAAUCACGUCCACUUGACCUUGUCACGUUGCCACUUUAUCAAAUAUCAAAGAAAGCAUAUUAGGAAAAUCAAUCAUUAAAUAAAUUAUUGCGAUGGAAUUUACCCCCUUAAACCAGCCCACCAUGGGUGAAUCGCUUUUGGUUCAAACUAUGCGUCUAUGGUCCAAGAAUCGAUCAAUUAUGUCACUUCCGUAACCGUCCGGGCUAAAUUGUAAAGACGGAGAAGUAUUUGGGCCACGGUUGUCCAUAUUUAUAAGUUAUGGUGAUGAGAGUUAUUACUAAAAUAUUAUGUAGUAACACUUAAAUAAUUAUAUGGGGACUGAAGAUGAACUUUACCAUCAUCUUCUCCAAUUUACAGGGACGAACUCCGGCGAUCACGCGUUUAUUCCGGCGAGCUCCAAUGCAUGUGGUUUUGGCCUGGAAUCGGAAAAUAGGAACACAGACAGCUUCCUAGAUCCAUCACGAAUCUAACAAGAUGCGCUAGGAACCAUGGGCACGCCUGAAGUCCUCAAGGCAAUGCCACAUCGGACGAUUGAUCGGAGGAACGAGAGAAAGUCCCGGGUCUGUAAUAGAGAAGAUUGAUAGUGUAGUUAACCUCGUACAAGUCUCUCAUAACUCUCUAGGCUCAGGAACGAGACCAAGAUUGCUUGAAUUUAGGAAUUCCAUGAUGGCAGCGGAGCUCGUCGGAGCAGAGAAGCGACAAAGGGAAAACUCGGUCCCGAGAGGUUUCUUUGUUUUGUA
This 2760-nucleotide long non-coding RNA is filed under the name Linum usitatissimum (flax). Its description in RNAcentral is "long non-coding RNA (LUSI_LNC006251)". The record is from RNAcentral. Lineage: Eukaryota; Viridiplantae; Streptophyta; Magnoliopsida; Malpighiales; Linaceae.